Molecule: long non-coding RNA, 360 nt
Filed under: Homo sapiens (human)
Lineage: Eukaryota; Metazoa; Chordata; Mammalia; Primates; Hominidae
Description: HSALNT0257663
Source: RNAcentral
GGAAACACUCUGUUUGUCAAGUCUGCAAGUGGAUAUUCGGACCUCUUUGAGGCCUUCGUUGGAAACGGGAUUUCUUCAUAUUACACUAGACAGAAGAAUUCUCAGUAACUUCCUUUUGUUGUGUGUAUUCAACUGACAGAGUUGAACCUUCCCUUAGACAGAGCAGAUUUGAAACACUCUUUUUGUGGGGUUUGCAAGUGGAGAUUUAAAGCGCUUUGAGGCCAAAGGCAGAAAAGGAAAUAUCUUCGUAUAAAAACUAGACAGAAUCAUUCUCAGAAACUGCUGUGUGAUGUGUGCUUUCAACUCAGAGAGUUUAACUUUUCUUUUCAUUCAGCAGUUUGGAAACACUCUGUUUGUAAA